AUCCAGCUGACGAACCCCAAAUAGGAUGAAACACACGUCCAGCUGGAU
Molecule: non-coding RNA, 48 nt
Organism: Schistosoma haematobium
Lineage: Eukaryota; Metazoa; Platyhelminthes; Trematoda; Strigeidida; Schistosomatidae
Source: Rfam